Schistosoma haematobium is the source of this 46-nucleotide non-coding RNA. The record is from Rfam. Lineage: Eukaryota; Metazoa; Platyhelminthes; Trematoda; Strigeidida; Schistosomatidae.
GCACUGAUGAGGAGUCUCAUAUUAGGACGAAACAGCUGUCCAGUAC